This 573-nucleotide ribosomal RNA is filed under the name uncultured bacterium. Its description in RNAcentral is "bacterial SSU rRNA". It matches the Rfam family "Bacterial small subunit ribosomal RNA", at positions 1 to 605 of the family's 1533-position model. The record is from RNAcentral.
GGCUAGAGUUUGAUCAUGGCUCAGGAUGAACGCUGGCGGCGUGCCUAACACAUGCAAGUCGAGCGAUUUACUUCGGUAAAGAGCGGCGGACGGGUGAGUAACGCGUGGGUAACCUGCCCUGUACACACGGAUAACAUACCGAAAGGUAUGCUAAUACGAGAUAAUAUGCUUUUAUUGCAUGGUAGAAGUAUCAAAGCUUUUGCGGUACAGGAUGGACCCGCGUCUGAUUAGCUAGUUGGUAAGAUAACGGCUUACCAAGGCGACGAUCAGUAGCCGACCUGAGAGGGUGAUCGGCCACAUUGGAACUGAGACACGGUACAAACUCCUACGGGAGGCAGCAGUGGGGAAUAUUGCACAAUGGGCGAAAGCCUGAUGCAGCAACGCCGCGUGAGCGAUGAAGGCCUUCGGGUCGUAAAGCUCUGUCCUCAAGGAAGAUAAUGACGGUACUUGAGGAGGAAGCCCCGGCUAACUACGUGCCAGCAGCCGCGGUAUACGUAGGGGGCUAGCGUUAUCCGGAAUUACUGGGCGUAAAGGGUGCGUAGGUGGUUUCUUAAGUCAGAGGUGAAAGGCUAC